AGCGCAACCCCUAUCUUUAGUUGCCAUCAUUAAGUUGGGCACUCUAAAGAGACUGCCGGUGUCAAACCGGAGGAAGGUGGGGAUGACGUCAAGUCCUCAUGGCCUUUAUGACCAGGGCUACACACGUACUACAAUGGCCGGUACAAAGGGCAGCGACACAGCGAUGUGAAGCCAAUCCCGAAAAGCCGGUCUCAGUCCGGAUUGGAGUCUGCAACUCGACUCCAUGAAGUUGGAAUCGCUAGUAAUCGUGGAUCAGCACGCCACGGUGAAUACGUUCCCGGGCCUU
Molecule: ribosomal RNA, 286 nt
Filed under: uncultured Desulfocapsa sp.
Lineage: Bacteria; Pseudomonadati; Thermodesulfobacteriota; Desulfobulbia; Desulfobulbales; Desulfocapsaceae
Description: partial 16S ribosomal RNA
Rfam family: Bacterial small subunit ribosomal RNA
Source: RNAcentral